GUCCAGAUGACGAGUCCCAGAUAGGACAAAAUGCUCGUCCUGAAU
Non-coding RNA from Schistosoma curassoni, 45 nucleotides. The record is from Rfam. Lineage: Eukaryota; Metazoa; Platyhelminthes; Trematoda; Strigeidida; Schistosomatidae.